Non-coding RNA from Phalacrocorax carbo (great cormorant), 644 nucleotides. NCBI's taxonomy places the organism in Eukaryota, Metazoa, Chordata, Aves, Suliformes, Phalacrocoracidae. The record is from RefSeq and is a predicted model, not a curated record.
GGCUUGUUUUUUGAGGCGUGUUGUUGUUGGCGUUCUGUGUAGGGUUCGCCUGUGGUUGUGGUGUCUUGGCUUGGAGCCGCCCUGCCUGGGGGUGUAGAGUCAGGGCGAGGCGGCACAGAAGCCACAGCCUCUCAUCGCUCAUGUGUCAAAGUGCCUUGCUUCUUUGGGGGAAAAGAUGUGUGGCCCUUUUAGAUCGAGCGGCCGUUGUCAGUGGGUGAGAAGAAGAAUUCCCAUGGUGUUUUGUGGCCUCCCAGGGGAUGACGGUAGCUGUCUGGGAGAGGGAGCUCCUGCUUCAGCGGAGCAGAGAGCAUCUCAGGGGCAUUCCGGCUUGGAUGUGGGUCGGGCGUAAUGCUUGGUUUACGGUGUUUAGAUGGCAGAGCAGGCCUAGCUGGGCUCUCGAUGGGCUUGCUACCUGGGAACAAGGCCUGUGGAAUGGCUAAGCUAUUGCUGUUCAUUGAGGGGACUUGUUUGAUAUUUUUGCAGAUGCCGAGGGAGGAGUCGUGCAGGGCGACGGAGGAGGGCCGAGGAUAGCGCUGUAAGCAGGUGGUGGUCGAGCUUGAACAUGGCAGUUGGAUCUGAUGGCGUCCAGGUGCCACAAUCAGCCUUCAGAGGGGAGACGACGCAUGGCGACGAGGUGUCCGAGA